AAAUUGAAGAGUUUGAUCAUGGCUCAGAUUGAACGCUGGCGGCAGGCCUAACACAUGCAAGUCGAACGGUAACAGAAAGCAGCUUGCUGCUUUGCUGACGAGUGGCGGACGGGUGAGUAAUGUCUGGGAAACUGCCUGAUGGAGGGGGAUAACUACUGGAAACGGUAGCUAAUACCGCAUAACGUCGCAAGACCAAAGAGGGGGACCUUAGGGCCUCUUGCCAUCGGAUGUGCCCAGAUGGGAUUAGCUAGUAGGUGGGGUAAAGGCUCACCUAGGCGACGAUCCCUAGCUGGUCUGAGAGGAUGACCAGCCACACUGGAACUGAGACACGGUCCAGACUCCUACGGGAGGCAGCAGUGGGGAAUAUUGCACAAUGGGCGCAAGCCUGAUGCAGCCAUGCCGCGUGUAUGAAGAAGGCCUUCGGGUUGUAAAGUACUUUCAGCGGGGAGGAAGGGAGUAAAGUUAAUACCUUUGCUCAUUGACGUUACCCGCAGAAGAAGCACCGGCUAACUCCGUGCCAGCAGCCGCGGUAAUACGGAGGGUGCAAGCGUUAAUCGGAAUUACUGGGCGUAAAGCGCACGCAGGCGGUUUGUUAAGUCAGAUGUGAAAUCCCCGGGCUCAACCUGGGAACUGCAUCUGAUACUGGCAAGCUUGAGUCUCGUAGAGGGGGGUAGAAUUCCAGGUGUAGCGGUGAAAUGCGUAGAGAUCUGGAGGAAUACCGGUGGCGAAGGCGGCCCCCUGGACGAAGACUGACGCUCAGGUGCGAAAGCGUGGGGAGCAAACAGGAUUAGAUACCCUGGUAGUCCACGCCGUAAACGAUGUCGACUUGGAGGUUGUGCCCUUGAGGCGUGGCUUCCGGAGCUAACGCGUUAAGUCGACCGCCUGGGGAGUACGGCCGCAAGGUUAAAACUCAAAUGAAUUGACGGGGGCCCGCACAAGCGGUGGAGCAUGUGGUUUAAUUCGAUGCAACGCGAAGAACCUUACCUGGUCUUGACAUCCACGGAAGUUUUCAGAGAUGAGAAUGUGCCUUCGGGAACCGUGAGACAGGUGCUGCAUGGCUGUCGUCAGCUCGUGUUGUGAAAUGUUGGGUUAAGUCCCGCAACGAGCGCAACCCUUAUCCUUUGUUGCCAGCGGUCCGGCCGGGAACUCAAAGGAGACUGCCAGUGAUAAACUGGAGGAAGGUGGGGAUGACGUCAAGUCAUCAUGGCCCUUACGACCAGGGCUACACACGUGCUACAAUGGCGCAUACAAAGAGAAGCGACCUCGCGAGAGCAAGCGGACCUCAUAAAGUGCGUCGUAGUCCGGAUUGGAGUCUGCAACUCGACUCCAUGAAGUCGGAAUCGCUAGUAAUCGUGGAUCAGAAUGCCACGGUGAAUACGUUCCCGGGCCUUGUACACACCGCCCGUCACACCAUGGGAGUGGGUUGCAAAAGAAGUAGGUAGCUUAACCUUCGGGAGGGCGCUUACCACUUUGUGAUUCAUGACUGGGGUGAAGUCGUAACAAGGUAACCGUAGGGGAACCUGCGGUUGGAUCACCUCCUUACCUUAAAGAAGC
This 1554-nucleotide ribosomal RNA is filed under the name Escherichia coli. Its description in RNAcentral is "bacterial SSU rRNA". It matches the Rfam family "Bacterial small subunit ribosomal RNA". The record is from RNAcentral. Lineage: Bacteria; Pseudomonadati; Pseudomonadota; Gammaproteobacteria; Enterobacterales; Enterobacteriaceae. RNAcentral also lists the same sequence under 1 other name.